Molecule: unclassified non-coding RNA, 214 nt
Filed under: Acromyrmex echinatior (Panamanian leafcutter ant)
Lineage: Eukaryota; Metazoa; Arthropoda; Insecta; Hymenoptera; Formicidae
Description: uncharacterized LOC105148519, transcript variant X1
Source: RNAcentral
UCGCAUCUUCAGGGAUACGUUCCAAAACUAGACUCCGAAUAACAGAGUUAAUUCUGCCGCUCCAAAACGCAAGGUUACUGACAAUAUGAGAGUCUAUUCGUUCCAAAACUAUAAAUAAUCUACCUCGGAGUCAACUUUAUGAAUCCUGCUUCCGAAGUGAAUUGAAGGAGUAAGUGCGGAUGUGCAUAUAUUAAUAACUAAUAAUAACGGAACA